Molecule: ribosomal RNA, 253 nt
Filed under: uncultured bacterium
Lineage: Bacteria
Description: partial 16S ribosomal RNA
Rfam family: Bacterial small subunit ribosomal RNA
Source: RNAcentral
UACGGAGGGUGCGAGCGUUGUUCGGCCUCACGGGGCGUAAAGCGCGUGUGGGCGGUCUGGCAAGUCUGGUGUGAAAGCCCGGGGCUCACCCCCGGAAGUGCACUGGAAACUGCCAGACUCGAGUCCCGGAGAGGAGAGUAGAAUUCCUGGUGUAGCGGUGAAAUGCGUAGAUAUCAGGAGGAAUACCGGUGGCGAAGGCGGCUCUCUGGACGGUGACUGACGCUGAGACGCGAAAGCGUGGGGAGCAAAUAGG